GGUGGUGAGCCAUUGGAUACGGGUAAAUGACUGUACCCGCGGACUGAAAAUAGGAGUAUUUCUACUCCUAGAACUGUGAGUAAACCUAUUAUCGUCUGAAUUAUCUAAAGUGAUUUUUAUCCAAUUUUGUGAUUUUAUGGAAAAUGAGUUUAAAUGGUAAAUCUUUAUGUUUUAUAAACAAAAUGUGAUUUAAUAAAGUGAUUUCAUAAAAUUGUCUUGCAAUUGAAUGAUGGCUUUGAUAAUUUGAGUAAUUGGAGACCAAGUGAUUUAUUGUAAAUUAUGAUUUGAAUUAAAUGGCUUGUGAUAAAUUGGCAUGAUUGGCUGAAUUUAUACAUGUGUUGAAAAAUAUGAACUGUCUGUUUUGCCUUGAUAAAUUGGUUAGUAAUGUAAUUUCCAUGCUAUGCCAUUGAGAUUUGAUCAAUUGGUGGAUUAAAGAUUAGCUACUGCAGUGGUGGGGGGUUUCGUGGACCAGCCUAUUAGAGGGGCACAGUAAACUCCUUUAUAUUCUCACCUCGGUCGUAGAGGCACGUAGGGUAUCUCCUGAGGUGGGCUUUUUGAGUGCACUUCACGUUAACCACCGCGUGAGAGUGAGACUCAACCAACGCCAAGGAACGACUGUGUCUCAAAUGCGAAAACAUGUUUAUGGGUAUGGGACAUUUAACAGCCUGGGCGAUCUCAGUGGGAUACCUUGACGAAGGUACCCGCGAGAAUGAUUUUGGCAGGAGCCAAGUUUUGAGAAAUUCACGAGCCAUAUUGAUUUUUUGGUUGAAAUGAAUAUUCGUGUUGUGAAAAAUUUGCUGAAAUGAACUAUUUUUAAUUGUCUCCCUUUACUCGCCUUUAGAUAGUUUAAAUGGUGUCUGUUUACUCACUGGGAUUAUAUAAUCAUAAUCUCACCCCUCUUCCUAUCCAUUUUUCAGGCUCAGGAUAGUUUGUUGAUAGUUGAUUAAGACGACAAUUAAUCUCGGAGUUGCAUCCUAGAAAGUAAGGGUUCGUAGCCCUACACCUUCUUGGUUAGUUGGGAGUCCACGUGUCACUGUAAAAGUAAUUUUACACUUAAGUUAUCUGAUUUAAAGUAUGUAUGAACAUAUUUAUCUUUUACACCAUGUUUUUGACGAGUUUCGGUAUUUUUGAAGAAAAAUGACGAAAAUGCCCCUGUGAGCCAAA
Molecule: long non-coding RNA, 1164 nt
Filed under: Theobroma cacao (cacao)
Lineage: Eukaryota; Viridiplantae; Streptophyta; Magnoliopsida; Malvales; Malvaceae
Description: long non-coding RNA (TCAC_LNC002546)
Source: RNAcentral